This is a long non-coding RNA of Neopsephotus bourkii (Bourke's parrot), 284 nucleotides long. RefSeq lists it as uncharacterized. The transcript is spliced from 3 exons. NCBI's taxonomy places the organism in Eukaryota, Metazoa, Chordata, Aves, Psittaciformes, Psittacidae. The record is from RefSeq and is a predicted model, not a curated record.
AACAAAAGAGGGAGAUUUGUUUAGCAGAUACACCUUUCAGUUUAUCUCUACUGUCUUGCUGCAAUGGCUGCAAGUUUAACCAGCUGCCUUUUCUAUCCCCCAGUGAUUUGGCCCUCCAACUCCCCUGCACUAUUGUGUCACUAAAUAAGCAAAGAAAAUGAGUGAUUUUAUAAAAUAUAAAGCCAAGUAAAGACGAGCACAGAGGAUUAUUUAAAUGAGGAAAAAACCCAACCAACAAACCCACAUUUUAACAGGGAGCACACACUGGUUUAUGAACCUGACUC